AUUGUCAACGAAAAUAACAGAUAAAACAUCACUACUUAUAGGUGUGUUACCACUAUAUACAAAUUGUUAACACAAAAUAAAACCCAGUUUUACUAUUCUUGUUCUACUAUCUGUAUGUACAUGAAAUUAAGUACAACUGUUCAACAACAAAAAAGUAUAUGAACAGUUCCUUCUGAUUCAAUGGAAAAUAUAAUAAAACAUGUUAUCUUUUACAUGCAUGUAAUAAAAAUACAUGUUAUCCCACUUUAUGAAAACCUAAUAGCUACUGGACAAAUAUGAAAAUCUCUUUAAAAUAAUGUAAAAGUUGUGAAAAAUUAUAUAAAUGAGUCCCUCUCUUAUAAGAAGCUCCUUGCUACAUGUACUUUUGGAAAUAAACGUACUUAAUAUAAACUUUCCUUUUACAUUAAGUUAAUUAAACAAGAAACGGUGAUUAAAAGACAUUUUUCUCUUUAUAAAAUCUUUGAGUUUUGCUUCAAAAAUUAACAAUGAUUCAUCAAAAAUACAAAAUUCCAGAAAAAAUAGAUCUUUGUAUAUUAUAUCACAUUAUUGCAAUCGUUGUUUGGAAAACCUAUAUAUGAUAUGUGUGAACGUAUAAAUUACACAGCUAAUGAUACAAAAUAAUGCAUCAAAUUGGUAUUGUUUUCCCCCGAGUAGGGAUUUUCUCUUUUUCACUCUAUAAAAUGACUGAAAUUCGUUUAUAAAAUAUUCUAAUUUAAUAUUUAUCAACAUGAAAAAAGCUUUUGAUUCCGAAUAAAAAAAGGUACUGCUCUUUAGCUUCUAUUCAAGUAUGAUAUACUGAUAUUCAAAUAUGAUAUUGAUAUUAUUUUUACUCAGUGGCGGAUCCAGGGGGUUGGCCGAUCAAUGCAUUUGAAUGGGAGCAUAUAGUUGGAAACCCCCCCUUUUACUCUGGGUUGGGAACCCCCCUUUUUAAAAUGGCUGGAUCCGCCACUGUUCAGCUUUCAGUGACAAAUAUUUAAUGCACAUUAAUGACUGUUUCUUAUUAGAUCAAAAUUGGACGCACUAUAGAGUAAUAUCUGUUCUAUGGUUAUCAUUCAAAUUCAAAUAGUCUUUGACAGUUGCAUAUUACUGUAUAAAUAGAUCGAAGUUAUUUUUGUAAUGUAACUACAUUUAUCUUUUUAAUGAAAUAUGUUUUAUGCCCAAUAUAAUUAUAUGUAGUUUUGAUAAACAUGUAUAUUUAACAUAAAAAAAACCCAACAUUCUUCUAACAUACACAUUGAUUUUCCCCCAUCACAUUGACCUAGAGUUACAUUGUAGUCACUGCCUUUCUGAAUAAAAAUCGAAAUGCAUUUCAGUGCAAAAAACUUUCCAAUACUCUACCAUACAAUCCAUUUCGUAACACAAAUCGCCCAUCGAUAAAACUCAACAAAAAAAUGUCAGUUUCUCUGCUUCCAUAAUAAUUAAUUUUGUGUGAAUUUAUCCAAUUUUAAUACUAGACUCGCCGUGCCACGGUGAAUUGAUUAAAUAUAUCUUUUCAGCUAAAAAACUCCUCCAUUUGGUUAUGUAAAUAUUUAAAGUUUAAUUCAUUUUGAAGAGGACAAAAGGUUUUUUGUGUAAUUUUCUGAUAUUUUCGAUCACAAUUAGAACUAUCAAUUAAAAAAGGAGAUAGAAUUUUAAAAUACAUCACUGACACAUGUGCACUGAGUGUAGAUGGGGUCAAAGUUUGUCUGAGUUCAUAAAUCGUUUUCAAAAUAAUUGUAUUGUAUUAUUUAAAAGAUGACAUAACACAUCUUACCACAAAAAUUUUAAAACAUAAAACCAAAUGAAUGAAAUUUUCUCUAAAUUUCUGAUAUAUACCCCAAUCGAAUAAUAAUAAUUAAUAAAUGAAAUUUUAAUAAAUCCCAAGAAUCAAGAUAAUUGUACAAAUGUUACUGUAAGCCCUUUUCUAUUAUCUUACUCAAUAUCAAAAAGAGUUAUGAUCUUGAAAAAUAUAAAUUAAUGAAAUUUUAACAAUUACAAAGCAACAUGCAAUAUAAUACAUGUUAUAUAAUCACAAUACUUAUACAUGUAUGAUGUAUAUUUCUAAAUGCUAAAUGGACAGCACCAAAGAAGUAAAUUACAUAUGUAGGCUAAUGUGAUUGGUUGUGCAGUAGCAAACACUACAGUAGCUGGUGUUUAUUUAUUGAAUACACCUGUAUCCCUUUUAAUUAACUUAUUUUUCCUAGCAAAAUCAUAUUAAGACAUUUUUUCCCAAACAGAAACAUCCAAGUAAUAAUCAAUUGUGCUUUCUAAUUUUUCUGCACAAAAUGGUUGUGAAAUUAAUUUCACUAAGUAUUUUAUCAGUGAAAAAGGAGUAUUUGUAAAUUUACCUUCAAGUUUUGAGUAUUAUAUACGAAUUAAUUACGAACAAUAAUUAAAAAAUAAUCAAUAAGAACACGAUAAAUAUCAUAUUUUUCGACAGAAUGAAAUGUUUAAAAAUUCUUUGGUCACUGUUUAUAAUGAAAGUCAGCGUUUGUGUACCAGUAUUUAAUUAACAAACCAAAGUCCAAUAGUGGUCUGUUUGACCUCUUAAAAUCUUUUUGCAAACACGACGUGCAAACAUCCGUUUUGUAAUUAAUUUACAAAAGGAUAACAUUGAAUUCAAUAUUAGUUAU
RNAcentral lists this long non-coding RNA (2612 nucleotides) under Mytilus galloprovincialis (Mediterranean mussel). The record is from RNAcentral. Lineage: Eukaryota; Metazoa; Mollusca; Bivalvia; Mytilida; Mytilidae.